This is a long non-coding RNA of Myotis daubentonii (Daubenton's bat), 3818 nucleotides long. RefSeq lists it as uncharacterized. NCBI's taxonomy places the organism in Eukaryota, Metazoa, Chordata, Mammalia, Chiroptera, Vespertilionidae. The record is from RefSeq and is a predicted model, not a curated record. The transcript has 2 exons.
UCCAGCCGUGAACAAGAAUGGAGCCGAGAAGAUUAUUCACCUCCGGUCUGCCAUGGGCCCGAGCUGUCCUCUGCCUAUAGAUGCCAUACUUCCUGGAGACGUUGAUGUUGGGGUGUGGAGCAGGGAAGGAGAAAGAAUGUCUUAAACCCAGCAAAUGUCUGAAACGCUCUGAACGUCUUCAGAAGAAGUGUGCUGACUCCUGAGCUAUUGCAAUAUGACAAGACAAAUUUUGUUGACAAGGAAGAAUAUGCUCUUGGGACAUUUCAUAGACCAUUUCACUGAUUUAUUAUUAACCAAAUGUCUCCUACAUGCCUGAUACAUUGCACGCGAUGGGAGAAAGUUACAAAUGCGUUCAUUCUUUCACUCAUUUUACAGCAGUAUGUACCGAGCUGUGUUCUAAGAGCGAGGCUGAUUCCUGGGGGUCCAGAACAAGAAGGACCCCAUCCGGCACCUCUGAUAGCAGGAUCCCAGUGUGUUUUUACCAAUAUCUCACUGCCUCUCUUUCCCAUUGAGGAUUCAGAGGGCAGUGAUAUGACUUCUUGAGCUUUCCAGCAGCAGGAUGGAGGGAAAGACCAACCCUGCAGACCCUCAGCCAGUGAAGCCAGGCCUGAGUCAGUAAGAGCAGUGCACUGGCUUCUGCGCCCCAAACUGUGUCAGGCAAUGCCAUGGCCCACUUCUUGCCUCUGGCAGAAGUCAACCUUCUGCUUUCCUUAAGAGGUGGUGGGGAACAGGUAGGAGUGGGGGGAGUCAGACUGCCCAAGCGUUAGCUCUGACUUGCAGCCUAGAGAUUAAGAGCAUGAACCCAGGGGCAGGCUUCUUGGGUUCAAAUCCCUGCUCAGUAUUAACCAACUACUUAACAUUAGGCAAGUGACCAAACUUUUCCCUGCCUCAGUUUCUUCAUGUGUACAACAGGCUGUAUAAUAAUAUGCCUUCCUCAAAGAGCUAUUGUGGAGAUCAAGUUAAUAGUGUCAGUUACUGGAUUAUUAUUAUUAUUAUUAUUAUUAUUAAGCUGUGUGACUUAGGAAAAUGACUUAGGCUCUCUGGACCUCAGUUGCUCCUUUAUGAAAUUGGGAUAAUAUAAAAAUAACAAUAAUUAAUUGCUUCAAAGAGUCUUAGUGAGAAUUUAAAUGAGGUAUUCCAUGUAAAACACGUCGCUUUGCUAUGGUGCCUGUCUAUGCUGAACGCUCAAUAAGCUAGCCAUUGUGCUCAAGCCAGCUAUUACUACCCUUGAAGUUACAGGGAAUUGUAUCCUAGGUCAGUAAUAUGCCUUUAAGCUAUUGGUCAGUCAAGUCCUUUUUCAAUAUCAAGGGAAUGUACGUCUGUGGUUAAUAUCACGUCUGGUCUGAGCCUUAAGUCCACUGCUCACUAAUGCUGCCACCUUGGUGGGCUAGGCGCUGACCCUCUCCACUUCCCGGACAGUGGAGGCAACAGGGCCGCUGUUCCCUGGGCGGCUGUGAGGGUUAAAAGAGGUUGCACACAUAAAGCACGUAGCAGGGUGUUUGGCACAUAGUAAGCACUCAAUAAAGGGUAGCUUGUAUUAUUAUCACCCCCACUCCUUGCUGCACCCCCACACCCGAGAAAGUACUGAACAUUAGUAAAUUUUAAUUUGAAAAUAAAAGAACACAUUUUAAAACUGCCAAACAGAUUUAAAAUAAUAUUCAUUAAACAAAAUUAAAAUAUUCUAUUAAAGCCAGACUUUGGGCUCAGACCAAAUUUUUAUAACCCAAGCUUAAAGGCCAAGGAGUCCCCCAGCCACAAUGGGGACAUUGUGAUUGAACUUGAGACUUCAACGCUGCUAUUGAGCAGUCUUUGAAAUGCACGUUUCCCCGUUAAAAUAAAAGGGAAGUCAUGGGAAGAAAAAAAAAUGAGAUUCUUGCUCACCCCAACAAACCUUAAUGAAUUGAAAAAGAAAAACAAAAGUUUUCUCAUUUUUUUCCUGCUGCCUUAUCCUGCCAAAGACGCAUGGCCCGCACCUAACCCCAGCUCUGACUGGUACCUACUCAGAAUGUCCCAGAUCUGAUAUGCUCUACCAGUUAACCUAGUCUAAAUCCUGGUCUUCACUUAUAUUUAUAGUUCAGUGCAUGACUGAGAGUCAGGAGUUGGGAGCCCUGCUGCCGGGUUGUGCCUCAGUUUCCCUAUUCCCAGAACAGAGAUUAAAUGUUGCAUAGGGCUAUGCUAAUGUGUAAGAGUUAGAUAUCCCUAUGGGUGUUUUAACCUGGUAUCAUUCUUGCAUGCAUGAAACUUCUCCAGGCUUCUGGGACUUUGAAGAAUUAAAGUAUACCAGUAUGCCUUUACCUGAGAGUGUUGAAUCAACAUAAUCUCAAUAUUCAGGGAGGAGAAUUGGAGAGGGAAGAAGUGGAUUUAAAAGUCUCUCACAGGAGUUAUGAUGUGUGAGGCACCUUCGCAAAACUCAUUUAAUCCUCUCUACAACCACAGCAAAAAUCCCAUGACAUGUGUGUAUCUGUUUAACAAAUGGGGACACUGGGGUUAGGACAGGGGAGUAGCUGCUGUCCAGUGGCAUUCCAUUCCAGGUCUCUCUGGCCCAAAGCCCAGGCCCGACCCUGCACGACCUGCAGCCCUUCUGCAGCAAGCACGCGGACGCUCGCAGAGACCUCUCCCUGACCCUCGGUGGGUUAUUUACGGCCGAUUCUGACAUUUCGGCAGCGUCCUUCAUCCUCAGUGAGCCCGAGUCUUUGUGGAUGUUUACCUGUGUUAUUAAGAAUGGAUGGACUCUUUCUCGAACAACAAGUGGAAAAAGUCACGGCAGUGGGCUGUGGCAGCCUUCUCUAGGUGACAGUCUUUGUAAGAAUCUCUGCAGAGUCUUGCCGACCAAGGGGCUGUGUCCUCCUCCUCAGACCAGGCCAGGCCCUUGGCUACCGUGCGGGGCUUUGCAGCAGAGUUGUCAGAGGUUGGGCCACUGUUGGGGAAGCGGGACUCCACACUCCAGCCCCCACCUGCUGUGUGAAGUUGGGCAGGUCACUGACGUCCUCUCAGCUCCAGACUCUUCCCCUAUUCAUGGGGCAAAUGCUGUCUCUCUGGGGUUUGUUAUACAACGUAAGCACGCUGAUGGCGGGAGCACAGUCUACGCGUUCCGAGAUUGGUGGGCUUAGGGUUCUAUGGAAUUGCGCCCACACCCCCAGAAGUACUCGAGGAAAGUGAAGAUUUCUUGCUCCCUGGACUUAUUCCCGACUGUUCUUCAGGUAGCGGCAUCUCGAGACUGUACACAUUCUGGAAGGAUCCACUAGUCUCCGAAGGGCAGUCUUCUUGCCAGCGGGGUGUGCACCCUCUCCACAUUCACUGAAAACAUGCCUGGACUUUUUUUGCAUGUUUUUGUCUUUAUUUUCUCAUGCAUCUGGAAAAGGUAGAACAAGAAUUUCAAACAAAUGGUUUCACCCACUUUAAAUGCUUAAGACCAAAAUGGUUUAAAAUCAAAUCCAUCAGGUAAUGAACUAGCAAAAGUGGCACCCAGGUGUGGCAGAUUCAUGAGCAAAGUCUGAGAAACACAAAUCUGAAAAUGUGACAUUUUCCAAAUAUCUGUUCAUUUACAUGAAAUCAUUUACUUCUCAAGCUCUUCCCCGCAAGCUGAUGGCAAUGAAUGAAUGCCCAAAUAACCAUCCUUCUAACCAGAACGGAACUUCUACACUCUGUUCUCAGGGGAAUAAAAUGAAACAAAUGAGGUCUCUCAAGGAUGUUGGGAAAGUUGUACCAGGGCACGCUAGUGUCUGAAUACAUUUAGCCUGUGUCUCAUAUCUUCACAAGAAGAAUGACUACCCUUUGGAUGACUGUAUUGUUAAUAAAAAUAACCUGUUGAGUGAUUG